This 754-nucleotide ribosomal RNA is filed under the name uncultured bacterium. RNAcentral's name for it is "bacterial SSU rRNA". It matches the Rfam family "Bacterial small subunit ribosomal RNA", at positions 8 to 796 of the family's 1533-position model. The record is from RNAcentral.
AGAGUUUGAUCCUGGCUCAGAAUCAACGCUGGCGGCGGNNUAACACAUGCAAGUCGAACGAGAAAGUGGAGCAAUCCAUGAGUAAAGUGGCGUACGGGUGAGUAACACGUGGAUCAUCUGCCCUUUUGUGGGGAAUACCGAUGGGAAACCGUCGACAAUACCGCAUAAGCCCGAGAGNNGAAAGCAGCAAUGCGCAGAAGGAGGAGUCCGCGGUCGAUUAGCUAGUUGGUAGGGUAAUGGCCUACCAAGGCUGUGAUCGAUAGCCGGCCUGAGAGGGCACACGGCCACACUGGCACUGAAACACGGGCCAGACUCCUACGGGAGGCAGCAGUGGGGAAUCUUGCACAAUGGGGGAAACCCUGAUGCAGCGACGCCGCGUGAGCGAUGAAGCCCUUCGGGGUGUAAAGCUCUUUCGGCAGGGAAGAUUAUGACGGUACCUGCAGAAGCAGCUGCGGCUAACUACGUGCCAGCAGCCGCGGUAAUACGUAGGCAGCAAGCGUUGUUCGGAGUUACUGGGCGUAAAGGGUGCGUAGGCGGCUCUGUAAGUAUGGUGUGAAAUCUCCCGGCUUAACUGGGAGGGUGCGCUAUAGACUGCGGGGCUCGAGUGUGGGAGAGGAAAGUGGAAUUCCUGGUGUAGCGGUGAAAUGCGUAGAUAUCAGGAGGAACCCGGUGGUGUAAACGGCUUUCUGGACCAUAACUGACGCUGAGGCACGAAAGCGUGGGUAGCAAACAGGAUUAGAUACCCUAGUAGUCC